CAAAAGCUCAGUUGUUUGAUAUCUUUGUCCUCAUAGUCUUAUUGUCCAGGUAGACACAUAGAGGUCGGACCUUGAAGCAAUGAAUGUCCCAGAAUGAGGGUGGUCGACUCGAUUCAUCCCACUUGAAAUAAAAGAUACCACACAGUCUGCGUCAUCCGUUUCAUAUUUGGAUAUUUUACUGGAAAUGGCCAUUGAAGAACCGUUUUUCAUGUUGCCAUGUUGAUUUUGCGAUAUCACGACAGAGGCUUGCUCAUUAGAAUUUAGAGUAAAGUUCAAGCAUGUUCUAAUAAGUAAUAAAGACACAAUUUCCAACGUUUUCUACAACUUCAAUCACCUAAUCUUUUUUACAGUCUAUCUCAUCUGACAUUCAUACAUUGUAUAUACUUCAGCAUUGCUAUAGGUUUUAUGACACUGACAAAAACAUGAAACUGUCCUUAAUUUGGUUCAAACUGAGGUGUGGAUUUGAUAAUUAAUACUAAUUUUGUUUUGAUUAGUAGCAUAAAUAAUGUUUUUGUAAAAGAUUCAGUCAAUAUCAAGUUCGUACUUUUCACUCAGUCAAUGCAUACAUGUAGUUUUGAAAAUUUUAUAAAUCUUUGAUAAGA
Magallana angulata is the source of this 602-nucleotide long non-coding RNA. RefSeq lists it as uncharacterized. The transcript is spliced from 3 exons. NCBI's taxonomy places the organism in Eukaryota, Metazoa, Mollusca, Bivalvia, Ostreida, Ostreidae. The record is from RefSeq and is a predicted model, not a curated record.